GGAGAGAUGGCCGAGUGGUUGAAGGCGCCGCUCUCGAAAAGCGGUAGGGGCGCAAGUUCCUCGAGGGUUCGAAUCCCUCUCUCUCCGCCA
RNAcentral lists this transfer RNA (90 nucleotides) under Candidatus Peregrinibacteria bacterium. RNAcentral describes it as "tRNA-Ser". It matches the Rfam family "tRNA". Rfam says of the family: Transfer RNA (tRNA) molecules are approximately 80 nucleotides in length. Their secondary structure includes four short double-helical elements and three loops (D, anti-codon, and T loops). Further hydrogen bonds mediate the characteristic L-shaped molecular structure. tRNAs have two regions of fundamental functional importance: the anti-codon, which is responsible for specific mRNA codon recognition, and the 3' end, to which the tRNAs corresponding amino acid is attached (by aminoacyl-tRNA synthetases). tRNAs cope with the degeneracy of the genetic code in two manners: having more than one tRNA (with a specific anti-codon) for a particular amino acid; and 'wobble' base-pairing, i.e. permitting non-standard base-pairing at the 3rd anti-codon position. RNAcentral also lists the same sequence under 1 other name. The record is from RNAcentral. Lineage: Bacteria; Candidatus Peregrinibacteriota.